UUUUGCAAUUCAUGAUCGAAUUUUUUGUAAUCCAUGAUCGAAAUGUUUUUUUUUUUCUUGUAAUCCAUCAUCGAAUUUUAUUUUUUAUUUUUUAUUUUUGUAACCCAUGAUAGAAUUUUUUGUAAUCCAUGAUCGAAUGUUUUGUAAUCCAUGAUCGAAAUGUUUGUUUUUUUUUUUGUAAUCCAUGAUCGAAAUGUUUGUUUUUUUUUUGUAAUCCAUGAUCGAAUUUUUUGUUUUUUGUUUUUUAUGUAACCCAUGAUAGAGUUUUUUGUAAACCAUGAUUGAAUUUUUUGUAAUCC
Molecule: long non-coding RNA, 299 nt
Filed under: Amborella trichopoda
Lineage: Eukaryota; Viridiplantae; Streptophyta; Magnoliopsida; Amborellales; Amborellaceae
Description: long non-coding RNA (ATRI_LNC004741)
Source: RNAcentral